Molecule: RNA transcript, 3649 nt
Organism: Acanthochromis polyacanthus (spiny chromis)
Lineage: Eukaryota; Metazoa; Chordata; Actinopteri; Pomacentridae
Gene name: methyl-CpG binding domain protein 4
Exons: 10
Source: RefSeq, a predicted model, not a curated record
GUUUGCCAUGACAGAACUUCCACUGCUGUGUUUACAUGAGAAAGUACCGCGGAGAACCAUAGAUAUACGGAGAACAGCGUACACAACUGAAUGAGUUCGAGGUUGAUCGUUAUUCAUGUAUGUAAUCUCAGGUAUUAUUUUGGCGCUCUCCUUCCAUGCUUUGUGAUUAUAUUUUCGACCGAUACUAUAAAAUGGACAGAGACCAUCUAAAUCUUGUUGUGAAUUCCAAGUAAAGAGGACACAGACCAGGAAUGGUUGCUGAUGUGGUAGUAAAAAGUAACCUACUGGACAGUAAGCUUUAAGGCAGUCAGCUUAAUCUCUGGCUCCACCAAAUUUGGUUUAAAAACAGCACUUCUUUCAAAAUACAUCCCACGAGCUAUGAUAUGGAGCUGGAGACCAGGAGAGACAUGGAUAGCCAAAGUCACAAGGACGAGCAUGACUCGUGGCACACUUCCACUAUGCCCCCUGGCUGGAUGAGAGAAGUGAGGCAGCGGAAAGCAGGCAAGACAGCAGGCAAGCUGGAUGUCUACAUCACAAGUCCCCAAGGGCAGAGGUUCCGAUCAAGAGCAUCCCUGCACGCUUUCCUCCUAAAAAGUGGAAACGAGAACUUAGACCUGAGCGUCUUUGAUUUCACCACGUCUAAAGAUGUCGCAGCUACUUUACAAAUACUCCCUUCCAGAGUAAAGCAGAGGAGACGAAAGAAGAAACAUGCAGAUGUACAGCAGGAGAAAACAGAAAAUGGAAAAGAAACUCUGGAUCCACCCCCAAAUAAGUCUAAAAAAGCCUCCUCCUCAGUCAUAAAUCAUCCUAAAGACAGAAAUGUAGAGAAUGCAGAAGAAACUGGCCUCAAUGGGACUGAUAUUGUAUUAGAAGUUGGUGGAGACGAAACUGAUCAGACUGGCUGCUUACAAGCUGCACCUUCAGGAAAGUUGAACGAUACAAAGCUACAGAAGAGCACUGAGAGAGUGGGCCUGCUGAGAGAGAAGCUGCUCAGACUGGCUCCUUCCAGCAAUCAACAAAACAUCAUCGUUGUUCACAAGGAUGAACAGUCAGAAUCGCAGCCUUCAGUCCCAACUUUAAAAGUUGAUCCUGCCACUGAGAGCGAGAAUGAAGGUGAGGAUGAGCCAGAUGCAGAUGGAACGUGGAUUCACAGCAAAGGUGACAACAAGCCUAAUUCUGAACUGAAGGCUGACGCUGACAGUCAAGAGCAUGUGGAAGAGGAGGUGUUGUUACCUGACAUCACAGAUGGGAGCUGUACACCAGUCAGAGAGUCCCAGAAUAAGUCCAAGAGUGUGGAAGACAAGCGGAUAACAAGCCCUUAUUUCAGGGGGAAACCACUCAGAGAUGGUCUUGAAGCACCCAGGAGGAAAGCCUUCAAGAAGUGGACGCCCCCUCGAUCACCUUUCAACCUCGUACAGGAAACCCUUUUUCACGACCCUUGGAAGCUCCUGGUGGCUACUGUUUUUCUGAACAAGACAAGUGGUAAGAUGGCCAUUCCAGUGUUGUGGCAGUUCUUUGAGCAAUACCCAUCUGCAGAGGUCACCCGCGAGGCCGAUUGGAAGCCGAUUUCUGAACUAAUGAAGCCACUCGGCCUGUAUGAGCUCAGAGCAAAAACACUCAUCCGCUUCUCAGAUGAAUAUCUGACUAAACAGUGGCGCUAUCCCAUCGAACUGCAUGGUAUCGGGAAGUACGGCAACGACUCCUACAGGAUCUUCUGCAUUGGGGAGUGGAGACAGGUGACACCUGAAGAUCACAAGUUAAACAAAUACCAUGCCUGGCUGUGGGAGAACCAUGAAACUCUGGGAAUCUGAGUCAUCAAGUAUGAGAAACAAGGACUCAAAGACAAUUUCCUGUGGCACAAACAAGAGAAUCAGUUAUAUCACAUAAACACUGUAGUUCUUUAACUACAUUUGCAUUAUGAUGAAGUUGCAAUUUUAAAGCUGUGUUGCUUAAAAAUUAUGCAUUAACAUUCCAAAGAUAAGCAUUCCUUUAAAAAGUUUUACUCCAUGUUCAAUAAAGUGUUUAAGUGGUUUAAAAGUUGAAAUGAAGUGCAUUUCUCAGUCUGUCUCCUGAUUGGUUUCGUUGAGUCGUUCCUUUCUAUGCAGAUGUGAUCCUGAGACAUCCUCCGACUAUCUGGUUAGACCGUCGUCACAGGCUAAUAAUCUUUCUUUAUGAGUGCACUGAUGCAUGGCCACUACGCAGCAGCUUUCUUUUGCUGGGGGGUAACCCGAUUCCCAAGGCAACUGUUGCCAUUGCAAAACACUCAGUAAAGGCAGCGGCGUGCCAAGGUUUAAUCUCUAACUAGCAGCAGCUCAGUAAUUUGACAUAUUUACAUUGGGAUUUGUGUUGCCAUUUAAUGCUCUGAUUCACAAAGAAACUUUGAUUGCACAUCAAGAUUGGACUUCUCUGGUGGCGAAUGUGAAACAGCGUGAAAAAGAUGAAACUACGUAAGAGAUUUUUUUUUUUUUUUUCCAUUUGCAGACUGUUUUAGUGUUGCCAAUAGCCUUUAUGUGAUUCUGUUUUUUUCAUCACCACAGCAUCCAUCUCUGUAGCUUCCACACCAGUGCGCAUUCCUCACAACACUCCUCCUGUCCGGCAGAGUCGCUGCCUGGUGGUCACUCCCAUGACAUUUCCCAUCAUCUCAGACUCUGCCCGGAUGUGGACAAGCAAUCAGUAUCUGCCCCCUAGAGUAUUCCUCGAUUGAAUCCCUUGCAUCCACCUUUGGUCCCUAAACGCACCGUCAGUCUGGAGACACCAGCCGUUCACCACCACAACCACCAGAGGACACUGAUCAUGCAGAGAAGAGAGCACUACAGGUAAGAAUCCUGCUUAAACCAAUUGUCACAGAGAAUCACACAAAGAGAAUCGUUUGUCUUUGCUUUGAAGAGUAAAGUCAAUGUUACAGGUAUCAUCAAGUGUGGAGGAAACCUUUCUAUGGAACCGGCAGUGAGAGAGAAGAGUACAGGAAGGAGUUGCGAGAGCAGUUACAGAGGCAAAUAGAGGAGAAAUGUGUAACACUGAAGCUGCAGCUGGCUGGCAAAGUGAAGGAAGCCGAGCAUCUCCAAGAAGUGGACCGCCUCGCCCUGUCCAGCGAAAGAGAGCAAAGGAUGCAGCACAGCAAAGCGAUGACAGCGUACAGAGACGAGAACAAGAAGCUAAUGGAGCAGAGCUGGAGGGAUAGAGCACUAACACGUUCCCAGGAGGUCCUGAAGGAGAGAGAACUGCUGCGCCUCAACCCCAUUAACUGGAGUGGAACACUGAAAUAGGCCGAAGCUCUUCAAGAAGUCAAAAUGUAAAAGUCAGGCCUCAUUGUAGCACUUAUGUGUGAAUAAUGACAUCUGAGAUAUACAGUACAUGUAAAUACUGAAUGAUCAGAGGACCUUUUCUAGGGGGUGUUAGACUAGGAAGAAGCAAAUUAAGGUCUUAGGCAUUUUACUGAAUCCUAAAGUGUUUCUGUUCUGCUCCUACAAAGGUUCAUGUCACGGUACAGUUAACCCAGGAUUCCUGUCUUCGACGUCUCUGCAUGCUGUGUAAUUCAUAAAACAAGAGAUAGUUUUUCCACAAGCCAGAAUGUUUUCCCAGUUAUGUCUUUGUAAAGAGCAGAAAAAAAGCUUAACAAAAUGACAUUAAAAAUUCAAAUAAAACAUGA